RNAcentral lists this ribosomal RNA (406 nucleotides) under uncultured bacterium. RNAcentral describes it as "partial 16S ribosomal RNA". It matches the Rfam family "Bacterial small subunit ribosomal RNA", at positions 30 to 526 of the family's 1533-position model. The record is from RNAcentral.
AUUGAACGCUGGCGGCAGGCCUAACACAUGCAAGUCGAACGAGUGGCGGACGGGUGAGUAAUGUCUGGGAAACUGCCCGAUGGAGGGGGAUAACUACUGGAAACGGUCGCUACUACCGCAUACUAUCGGUUGUCCCCAGAUGGGAUUAGCUAGUAGGUGGGGUAAAGGCUCACCUAGGCGACGAUCCCUAGCUGGUCUGAGAGGAUGAUCAGCCAAACUGGAACUGAGACACGGUCCAGACUCCGACGGGAGGCAGCAUUGGGGAAUAUUGAACAAUGGGCGCAAGCCUGAUGCAGACAUGCGGCGUGUAUGAAGAAGGCCUUAGGGUUGUAAAGUACUUUCAGCGGGGAGGCGUUACCGGCAGAAGAAGCACCGGCUAACUCCGUGCCAGCAGCCGCGGUAAUAC